UACGAAGGGGGCUAGCGUUGUUCGGAAUUACUGGGCGUAAAGAGCUCGUAGGCGGUUCGUCGCGUCGGCUGUGAAAUCCCGAGGCUCAACCUCGGGUCUGCAGUCGAUACGGGCGGACUGGAGUUCGGCAGGGGAGACUGGAAUUCCUGGUGUAGCGGUGAAAUGCGCAGAUAUCAGGAGGAACACCGGUGGCGAAGGCGGGUCUCUGGGCCGAUACUGACGCUGAGGAGCGAAAGCGUGGGGAGCGAACAGG
This 253-nucleotide ribosomal RNA is filed under the name uncultured bacterium. RNAcentral's name for it is "partial 16S ribosomal RNA". It matches the Rfam family "Bacterial small subunit ribosomal RNA", at positions 524 to 776 of the family's 1533-position model. The record is from RNAcentral.